RNAcentral lists this ribosomal RNA (449 nucleotides) under uncultured prokaryote. RNAcentral's name for it is "bacterial SSU rRNA". It matches the Rfam family "Bacterial small subunit ribosomal RNA", at positions 355 to 796 of the family's 1533-position model. The record is from RNAcentral.
UGGGGAAUAUUGGACAAUGGGCGCAAGCCUGAUCCAGCAAUGCCGCGUGUGUGAAGAAGGCCUUAGGGUUGUAAAGCACUUUCAAUUGGGAAGAAAAGCAUGAGGUUAAUACCCUUGUGUCUUGACGGUACCUUUACAAGAAGCACCGGCUAACUCCGUGCCAGCAGCCGCGGUAAUACGGAGGGUGCAAGCGUUAAUCGGAAUCACUGGGCGUAAAGCGCACGCAGGCGGUUUGUUAAGUCAGAUGUGAAAGCCCCGGGCUCAACCUGGGAACUGCAUUUGAUACUGGCAAGCUAGAGUAUGGUAGAGAGAAGUGGAAUUCCACAUGUAGCGGUGAAAUGCGUAGAGAUGUGGAGGAACAUCAGUGGCGAAGGCGACUUCUUGGACCAAUACUGACGCUCAGGUGCGAAAGCGUGGGGAGCAAACAGGAUUAGAUACCCCCGUAGUCC